AGGAAGGAUCAUUUCAUUUUCUGUCAUCCUGUUCUGGUGCCCGUAGCACCCGCCAUGAUUGCGCCUUGUUGGAUACCCGGAUUGGCUGCCUGUCCGUAUUUGCUUGGCACCACCCUACAUCGCCUCCUUCUAGGAAAACUAUACUGGUGUAUCUCGUGCACCAACCAGUUCAUCCAAAAUCAUGAAAUCUCGCAAGAGUAAUCUCCCAUCACUGGACCUUACCGAGUGUGCUGCUGAUGCUGUUCAUGGUAUGGAUGACAGGUAAGGUGGCACAGCAUGCCGCGUGCGUGCAUGCACCCAACCCUGGAUCAGUGAGAAGGAAUGUUUGAAAGUUGAAGUCCGGCACUAACCCUGUUGAAGCACCUGGCAUGUUGCAUCAUCAUAUGACAGUUCUGUCCUUGCACUCGGCCCUGCUGAUGAGGUUGAUGCUCUCGCCGAUUUGGACCACACGGGAGAGCGAGCGUGUCUCCCGAAGCUUACACCGUGAAAUUCUCCGAUACAGCUCAGACCGUCUGACGCCUCUACAACCACAGCGUGAUUGGCUGCACACAUAAUACAUUGGUACAUAGGGCAUGCAUGCUGGUGUAUAGAAGUAUAGAAUAAGGCAAUUAUAAUGCUGCUGCUGAGUACACUAUCAUUCAUCAUCUAAUGGAGCUGGGUAGUAUAAUCCUGAUAUUGUAGGGCACCUGUCGUCCCUGUCCGCGUACGGACAUGUGCACGUGGCACGUUGAUUUUUGGGUUCAAAGUACGAUACAAUGGGCAUGGCUUGUCCUAAACAGUCGAUGGGGGAACCUUGUGCAGUUGCUGACAGCGGACGGGCUACUGCUGAUAAUCGAGUGCCUCUACUACAGUGCAAAUCGACAGAGGGCUUCUGUGUCCUGACGUAUCCAGCCGCUGAAUUGAAGCUCGCUGGAGUCGCCGAAUUGAAAAGGCCACAUACAGAUACGUACAGCUCAGGCAUUAUUGAUGCUCGACAAAACAAAUAUAUAUUAUACUUGCAUUGGCUGCUGAAGAUGGGCCAUUCUCUUCUACACCUCUGGAUUGAAGGCAGGUGUAAGGAUUGUACAGUCGGAACAGCACAUCAUAAUGGAGGAUUUGCACUGAAGUUACUCUCACUCUAUUUUUCGUUUCUUCGGAUAUAUGAGAGCUUCACAAAUUAUGUUCUUUUAGCAACACCUUUGGAAAUGCGCUAAACUCAAAACUGGAGAAGGAAAUGAAGUAGAAAGAUUGGAGGGCGAUUUGUUCUUUUGUGCUGGACACAACACCUAACUGCUAGGGAUAAGAAGAAGAAAACUCGGACACAUAGAAGAUAAAAACAUAAGAUAAAAACUCAGGGACAUGUAGAAGAUAGAAAAUGAAACUCAAUGGAAUGCAGGAGAUCAAGUAUUAUCAUAGGAUCACGGAAGGGACGAGUGGAAAGUUGGAAACCCCCAGAGGACAUAAGGUAUUGCCUCUUUAUGCCCAUGGAAAAUUUUCAGUUUUAAUGAAUAGCUUUAUAUGAUAUUUGUAUAUAACUCGAUUGAUUUUUUCCCCCUUAAAGUUGUAA
Molecule: long non-coding RNA, 1546 nt
Organism: Oryza brachyantha (malo sina)
Lineage: Eukaryota; Viridiplantae; Streptophyta; Magnoliopsida; Poales; Poaceae
Exons: 4
Source: RefSeq, a predicted model, not a curated record